UGCGCAGGCGGUUUUGUAAGUCGGAUGUGAAAUCCCCGGGCUCAACCUGGGAACUGCGUUCGAAACUGCAAGGCUAGAGUGUGUCAGAGGGGGGUAGAAUUCCACGUGUAGCAGUGAAAUGCGUAGAGAUGUGGAGGAAUACCAAUGGCGAAGGCAGCCCCCUGGGAUAACACUGACGCUCAUGCACGAAAGCGUGGGGAGCAAACA
RNAcentral lists this ribosomal RNA (207 nucleotides) under uncultured bacterium. RNAcentral describes it as "partial 16S ribosomal RNA". It matches the Rfam family "Bacterial small subunit ribosomal RNA", at positions 568 to 774 of the family's 1533-position model. The record is from RNAcentral.